This 23-nucleotide small RNA is filed under the name Arabidopsis thaliana (thale cress). RNAcentral's name for it is "AGO4_11060". The record is from RNAcentral. Lineage: Eukaryota; Viridiplantae; Streptophyta; Magnoliopsida; Brassicales; Brassicaceae.
UACUUUUUCGGGCAUUUUCGUGA